GAUGGCUUGGCCGAGUGGUCUAAGGCGUUGGACUUGAAUUAAAGCGAUUGGGCUUGAAUUUCAACCUAAUUCGUGACAGAUAUCCAAUGGGGUCUCCCCGCGCAGGUUCGAACCCUGCAGCCAUCG
Dispira parvispora is the source of this 126-nucleotide non-coding RNA. Lineage: Eukaryota; Fungi; Kickxellomycota; Dimargaritomycetes; Dimargaritales; Dimargaritaceae. The record is from the annotation of a GenBank genome assembly.